AGAAGUAAACAUGAAGAAAGGGGAAAGGAAGGGGAAGGUGACGCUGAUCCUGGCUGCAGCCUCUCUGGUUGCUGGAUUUGGUUCGUCUUUUCAAUAUGGAUACAACGUAGCUGUGGUCAACUCACCUGCCCCUGAGAUGCAGCAGUUCUACAGGCGAAUAUAUGUGGAUCGUUAUGGCCCAAUGUCGGACAAUCUCCUCACCCUCUUGUGGUCCGUAACUGUGUCCAUGUAUCCACUGGGUGGGUUUUUCGGCUCUCUCAUGGUGGCUCCAUUAGUGAACAAAUUUGGAAGAAAAGGCACACUCCUGUUCAAUAACAUCUUCUCUAUUGUUCCCGCUAUAAUGAUGGGUGUGAGUGAAGUGGCGGGGUCAUUUGAGAUUAUUAUUGUCGCACGUUUUCUGGUGGGCAUCUGUGCAGGCUGUCUUCCAAUGUGGUGCCUAUGUAUUUGGGAGAGAUCGCACCCAAGAAUUACAGAGG
Molecule: non-coding RNA, 476 nt
Organism: Danio rerio (zebrafish)
Lineage: Eukaryota; Metazoa; Chordata; Actinopteri; Cypriniformes; Danionidae
Source: RefSeq